CACAGGAAACUGUUAGCUCGUGGACUAUAGGUGAACUCUGUCAGUUUUUAAUUGAUAUAUGACUGCUGGAUUGUGGUUUAUUUCCCAGAUUUUCUGACUACUUUGACAGCUAAGGACAGCUCCAGAGAAGCCACCUCAAGAUGCUCCAACCUCCUCUCACAGACACAGAUGCUUCUACUGGACUUGUUCCUUCUGAUCUACCCACAAACAGUUCUUAUAUCCUGGACAACAAGGAAGCAGCCAACUUUCCUAAGACUGGACCAACAUCUUCAUACCCACUUUCUGAAUCCUCUGAAUAGCCCAAUUGGUCCUGGUAAUGGGUAAAGAGAAAGAAGUCUGAGUGUUUACUCUGUGUACUCCAAAUAGUCAUGAACUACACAGAGUGAUUUGGC
Mastomys coucha (southern multimammate mouse) is the source of this 392-nucleotide long non-coding RNA. RefSeq lists it as uncharacterized. The transcript is spliced from 3 exons. The record is from RefSeq and is a predicted model, not a curated record. Lineage: Eukaryota; Metazoa; Chordata; Mammalia; Rodentia; Muridae.